This 253-nucleotide ribosomal RNA is filed under the name uncultured bacterium. Its description in RNAcentral is "partial 16S ribosomal RNA". It matches the Rfam family "Bacterial small subunit ribosomal RNA", at positions 524 to 776 of the family's 1533-position model. The record is from RNAcentral.
UACGGAGGGUGCGAGCGUUAAUCGGAAUUACUGGGCGUAAAGCGCACGUAGGCGGUCAGGCAAGUCGGGUGUGAAAGCCCUGGGCUCAACCUGGGAAUUGCAUUCGAAACUAUCUGACUCGAGUAUGGGAGAGGGUAGCGGAAUUUCCGGUGUAGCGGUGAAAUGCGUAGAUAUCGGAAGGAACACCAGUGGCGAAGGCGGCUCCCUGGACUAAUACUGACGCUGAGGUGCGAAAGCGUGGGGAGCAAACAGG